RNAcentral lists this ribosomal RNA (1573 nucleotides) under Enterococcus faecium. RNAcentral describes it as "partial 23S ribosomal RNA". It matches the Rfam family "Bacterial large subunit ribosomal RNA", at positions 1 to 1574 of the family's 2925-position model. Lineage: Bacteria; Bacillati; Bacillota; Bacilli; Lactobacillales; Enterococcaceae. The record is from RNAcentral.
GGUUAAGUGAAUAAGGGCGCACGGUGGAUGCCUUGGCACUAGGAGCCGAUGAAGGACGGGACUAACACCGAUAUGCUUUGGGGAGCUGUACGUAAGCUAUGAUCCAGAGAUUUCCGAAUGGGGGAACCCAACAUCUUUAAUAGGAUGUUACGAUUGUGUGAAUACAUAGCACAUUCGAGGUAGACGCAGAGAACUGAAACAUCUAAGUACCUGCAGGAAGAGAAAGAAAAUUCGAUUCCCUGAGUAGCGGCGAGCGAAACGGGAAAAGCCCAAACCAGCAAGCUUGCUUGUUGGGGUUGUAGGACUCCAAUAUGGUAGUUCUUUCAGAUAGUCGAAUGACUUGGAAAAGUCAGUCAAAGAGGGUAAAAACCCCGUAGACGAAAUGUGGAAGACACCUAGGAGGAUCCUGAGUACGGCGGAACACGAGAAAUUCCGUCGGAAUCCGGGAGGACCAUCUCCCAAGGCUAAAUACUCCCUAGUGACCGAUAGUGAACCAGUACCGUGAGGGAAAGGUGAAAAGCACCCCGGAAGGGGAGUGAAAUAGAACCUGAAACCGUGUGCCUACAACAAGUCAAAGCCCGUUAAUGGGUGAUGGCGUGCCUUUUGUAGAAUGAACCGGCGAGUUACGAUUGCAUGCGAGGUUAAGUUGAAGAGACGGAGCCGCAGCGAAAGCGAGUCUGAAUAGGGCGUUUGAGUAUGUAGUCGUAGACCCGAAACCAUGUGAUCUACCCAUGUCCAGGUUGAAGGUGCGGUAAAACGCACUGGAGGACCGAACCCACGUACGUUGAAAAGUGCGGGGAUGAGGUGUGGGUAGCGGAGAAAUUCCAAACGAACUUGGAGAUAGCUGGUUCUCUCCGAAAUAGCUUUAGGGCUAGCCUCGGAAUUGAGAAUGAUGGAGGUAGAGCACUGUUUGGACUAGGGGCCCAUCUCGGGUUACCGAAUUCAGAUAAACUCCGAAUGCCAUUCAUUCAUAUCCGGGAGUCAGACUGUGAGUGAUAAGAUCCAUAGUCGAAAGGGAAACAGCCCAGACCACCAGCUAAGGUCCCAAAAUAUAUGUUAAGUGGAAAAGGAUGUGGGGUUGCACAGACAACUAGGAUGUUGGCUUAGAAGCAGCCACCAUUUAAAGAGUGCGUAAUAGCUCACUAGUCGAGUGACCCUGCGCCGAAAAUGUACCGGGGCUAAACAUAUUACCGAAGCUGUGGAGUACACCUUUAGGUGUAUUGGUAGGAGAGCGUUCUAAGGGCGUUGAAGGCAGAUCGUGAGGACUGCUGGAGCGCUUAGAAGUGAGAAUGCCGGUAUGAGUAGCGAAAGACAGGUGAGAAUCCUGUCCACCGAAUGACUAAGGUUUCCUGGGGAAGGCUCGUCCGCCCAGGGUUAGUCGGGACCUAAGCCGAGGCCGACAGGCGUAGGCGAUGGAUAACAGGUUGAUAUUCCUGUACCCGUUGUUUUUGUUUGAGCAAUGGAGGGACGCAGGAGGCUAAGGAAUGCAGACGAUCGGAAAUGUCUGUCCAAGCAGUAAGUCUGAAGAGGAGUCAAAUGCUUCUUUUCUUAAGGACAAGCUGUGAUGGGGAGG